AAGUCGAACGGGCUCUUCGGAGCUAGUGGCGGACGGGUGAGUAACGCGUGAGAAUCUGCUUCAGGAGGGGGAUAACGACUGGAAACGGUCGCUAAUACCCCAUAUGCCUCCGGGUGAAAAGUAAUUCGCCUGAAGAUGAGCUCGCGUCAGAGUAGCUAGUUGGUGGGGUAAGAGCCUACCAAGGCGACGAUCUGUAGCUGGUCUGAGAGGAUGAUCAGCCACACUGGGACUGAGACACGGCCCAGACUCCUACGGGAGGCAGCAGUGGGGAAUUUUCCGCAAUGGGCGCAAGCCUGACGGAGCAAGACCGCGUGGGGGAUGACGGCCUAAUGGUUGUAAACCCCUUUUCUCUGGGAAGAAGACUGACGGUACCAGAGGAAUCAGCCUCGGCUAACUCCGUGCCAGCAGCCGCGGUAAUACGGAGGAGGCAAGCGUUAUCCGGAAUUAUUGGGCGUAAAGCGUCCGUAGGUGGUUAUUCAAGUCUGCUGUCAAAGCGUGGGGCUAAACUCCAUAGAGGCAGUGGAAACUGAGUGACUAGAGUGCGGUAGGGGUCGAGGGAAUUCCCAGUGUAGCGGUGAAAUGCGUAGAUAUUGGGAAAGAACACCAGUGGCGAAAGCGCUCGACUGGGCCUGCACUGACACUGAGGGACGAAAGCUAGGGGAGCGAAAGGGAUUAGAUACCCCUGUAGUCCUAGCCGUAAACGAUGGAUAC
Molecule: ribosomal RNA, 711 nt
Filed under: uncultured organism
Description: bacterial SSU rRNA
Rfam family: Bacterial small subunit ribosomal RNA
Source: RNAcentral